RNAcentral lists this ribosomal RNA (433 nucleotides) under uncultured bacterium. RNAcentral describes it as "partial 16S ribosomal RNA". It matches the Rfam family "Bacterial small subunit ribosomal RNA", at positions 29 to 507 of the family's 1533-position model. The record is from RNAcentral.
AACGAACGCUGGCGGCAGGCUUAACACAUGCAAGUCGAACGCACCUUUCGGGGUGAGUGGCAGACGGGUGAGUAACGCGUGGGAAUCUACCCUUCUCUACGGGAUAGCUCCGGGAAACUGGAAUUAAUACCGCAUACGCCCUGAGGGAGAAAGAUCUAUCGGUGAAGGAUGAGCCCGCGUUGGAUUAGCUAGUUGGUGGGGUAAAGGCCUAUCAAGGCGACGAUCCAUAGCUGGUCUAAGAGGAUGAUCAGCCACAUUGGGACUGAGACACGGCCCAAACUCCGACGGGGGGCAGCAGUGGGGAAUAUAGGGCGAUGGGCGCAGAUGUGGUCCAGCCAUGCCGGGUAAGUGAUGAAGGCCCUAGGAUUGUGAAGCUCUUUCAGUGGGGACGAUAAUGACGGUACCCGCAGAAGAAGCCCCGGCUAACUUCGUG